UCUCCCAGGGUGUGGCCCCGUUACAGGGCACCAUUCUGUACAGAAAUGUGUCAGAGUGUGAAUACAGGCUAUCAGACACUCGUGUUCGGAAGUGGCACCCGACUUUUGAUCAUCCCAAAUAUCACAGACCCCGAUCCCGCCGUGUACCAGCUUAGAAACCCUAAAUCCAACAUUUCCGUCUGCCUAUUCACCGAUUUUGAUUCUGAAACCAAUGUGUCACAAAAGACGGGGCCCACAGUGUUCAGCACAGACAAAACCGCGCUGGACAUGAGAGCCACAGGUUCCAAGAGCAACGGGGCCCUGCUCUGGAGCAACAGCAAUGAUUUUGAAUGCCAAGGCGCCUUCAACGAGACCUUCUACUCCAGCUCAGUCUUUCCCUGUGAUGCCACAUUGGUUGAGAAAAGCUUUGAAACAGACAUGAACCUAAACUUCCAAAACCUGUCAGUGUUCGGGUACCGCAUCCUCCUCCUGAAAGUGGUCGGGUUCAACCUGCUCAUGACGCUGCGGCUGUGGUCCAGCUGAGGUCACCAAGAAUGCGAGAGCCGAGUGCUCCCUGCCCCCGACUCCUCACCGCCCUCCUCUGCCUCUUUCAGCAGAGAGGCACGCCCUCAGCCUCCAUGAAGGAGAAGGCUCCCUCUGCAGCUCUGGCAAUGCCACCAACUGGAUCCUACCAGAUAUUUGUGAUUGAGAUGCUGGAGAGCUACCAAGCGCUGCUGCCACCCCUCUGUUCCCUCACUGCUGCUUGUCACUGCCUAACGUUCCCGGCAAAGGCAGGGGCUGCUGCAACCUCUCCUGGCUGUGGAGACGGCCCCUACCCCUCCCAGAGACUGCUUCUGAUGUCCCACAGUGCGAUGGAUCCCCAGGGGCUUCUCCCAAGCUCUAGCUCCUGGAGAAUGUUGUGAGGAGCUUAUAUUUUUUAAAUAGUGUUCAUAAAGAAAGACAUAUUACCCUUUCUCCCAAGAUGUGGGGAAAACUCUCUCAUUAUCUAGGCCCUGCUAUGCUGUGUAUCCGAGCCACAUUGUGUGUUCUGCUUCCACGGCUUCAUUAAAAGUGAUUUGGAAGAUCA
Molecule: non-coding RNA, 1066 nt
Organism: Pteropus alecto (black flying fox)
Lineage: Eukaryota; Metazoa; Chordata; Mammalia; Chiroptera; Pteropodidae
Source: the annotation of a RefSeq genome assembly